UGUUGGAAUGAGUGAGCGAGUGACAGUGUGUAUUAAUGUGUGUGUGUGUGUGUGUGUGUGAGUGUGUGUGUGUGUGUGUGUGUGUGUGUGUGUGUGUGUGUGUGUGAGAGUGUUUGCUGAGACGUGUAUUAUGGUUCCUCUUUUUCAUCUCUAUAAACAGGCAGAGUCUGGAUGGCUUCACACGUCUUCAUUAGUCAGGCGGCGAAGAAGUUCCUCUCUAGCCAGUUACAACACUGUACCCGCAUCAGAAUGCUGUUUUUCAGACCAGGAUGAUAACUUUUUUGGGAUUUGUGGUGCUGAUGGCUGCAUUUUCUCAUGGUGUGGACUCCAUCUGUGAUGUUACUCAGGAUGCUGUAUGUAACGGCACCCUAGGACUACCUGUGUACCUACAGCUGAUUAGGGACGCCACAGGACACGAACUGAAGUUAUUCAGUGGAGAUAAGAAUGUUUUUACAUCCAAAUCCUCCAAGACAGUGUUCUUUAACGAGUUCAACAACCCAUCAUACCUCCAGAGGUGGCAGUUUGUUCGUGAUAACGGGACCUUGAUUAUUAACCCUGCAGAGAAGAGAGACGCAGGAACAUACAGAGUGGAGAUCUAUGAGGAGUCAACAGGGAGGAGUGUGGGAGAUCACACAGUUCAGCUGAUCCUUCAAGGUACCUCCACUGUGUCUGUCAAACCAACUAACCAGACUAACACGACUCUUCCCUCUACCCACCCAGGUCCCUCAGUGACGGUAAUAGUUAUUUGUGUGUUAUUAUCCCUGACUGUGUGUCUGUGUGUCGCUGUGGGGACGUUCUACAUCAGAAUGAAAAAGAGGAAUACACACACUCCAGUGAGUGAAAAGAAAGAGCCUGACGAUUUGGUGUACGCCCAGGUGACCACUGGUAGCAACGGCAGAAGACAAAUAUCAGACAUUCAAGGUACAAGAGUGGAAACAGAGGAUGUGGUGUAUUCUGGCGUUGCCAUGGCAAAUAGGAGCAGCAGGCAUAACAGCAGGAAGCCACCAGCAGCUGAGGCGUAUGAGUUGGAGUAUGCUGAGGUGUCUGCCUUCAGUAAGCGACGGGGCCCAACUGAGAGUCACAGGCCAGAGGAGUCGGUUGAGUACGGGGAAGUGAGAGUCCACACACCACACUGACCCACAGCAGGCAGACAGUGUGUAUGCUCAAAUGCACCUCGGACAGUGACCUGUGUGUGUGUGUGUGUGUGUGUGUGUGUGUGUGUGUCUGUGUCUGUGUCUGUGUCUGUGCACCUGUGGAGGCAUGUAGCAGAGUGUGUGUCUGUUCCUCACAGCAGGUUAAUGUGGAGGUUAAUGACCACAGCAGACACAACUAACCAAGGGUACUAUAAUGGUGGAAUUAUGUGGUUAAUUAAGGUUACUAUCAUGAUGAAAUUAUGUAGUUAACCAGGGUUACCAUUGUUAGGAAAAAAUACACUGCGUGUUGUUUCGGAGAGGAACCACCAUAUGAAGCAAUUUGUUGUAACAAGGUUGAGUUUUACUGGUAGGUAACGACACAAUACAACUUGCCCAACAGACAGUCAAGUACAGUCAAGCAAGCCGGAGAAUGUGAAUUCUAGAGUCUAAACAGAGGAUGCUCCCACUUUUAAGGCCUAAUUCUGUGAUGUCGCUUCUGGCCCCCUGCACCUCCCACAUACACUGUCUUCCACUCGGCACUUUGUUAUAACACAUGAUUAACUUCUGCUUUUAAUCUGCUGACAUGUAUGUCUGGACAUUUUUGUCUGUGCCCCAGCCUUGACCACCUAAGAUUUAUAUGCUUCUCUCCUCUUCCGGGCCUUUGUUUUAACUUGCUUUCUCCUGUCUGACUCUUUACAUUUCCCCUGCAGAUGUUACUUGCUGUUUUUCUGACUUGUUGGCAGACUGCCCUUUUAUUGUGAUUAUACUUCAUUGAUACAUUUGGUUAAAUGUGAUAUGAUUAGAUAAAUUUGAUAAUUCAAAUGUAUCUUACAUUUCCCUCCUUUGACCUCAUUUAUGAGGUCAACAAUUUCUCCAAGCAUAAGCCACUAAGAAGCCAGGUUACAUGUUCAGGAUGGGUUUUCGUUUUACUUUACACAAUUCUAUCAAUCACCCUCCUUUAGCAUUCUAGCACAGCAUAAGCAAUAUUACACCUCCAGGCUCUACUCUGUCACCGGGAUGCCUGCCCCCCUCUCAGGUCAUCCGCCCCCCAUGGCUUGGUGAGACUGCCAGUGCUUUUCUCUUAGAGGUCACCCUCAGAGCGAAACCUUUCAGUGCCUAAACAGUGUCUAAACUAAUAAAAGUAAGCUAUAAUAGUAAGUACUUCAAACGGUUAGUCUUAUACUAAAAUUAACUAUUAGGUUACAUUUUUUAUACUAUAAUCAACUUUUUGUAAAACUAAAAAAUACAAAAUGCAAUAGUACACCAUUUUAUACUAAAAUCCUGGCACAAUAGCAUUAUGAGCAUGCACAUUUCAGCAAAAAAUCAUCAUUCAUUUUUUUUUUUUUCUUCUUCACCCCCCUACUCUCACAACUGACUUUCCUGCUGUCUACUCUCUCUUUCUGCCUCUUGGGGUUCUCUCCAGUAUUCAUCUUCCAAGUAGUCGAACCAAUCUGCUUGAGCGUCCAAACACUGGUCGCAAAUCACCUCCCUCGGAUCACCACUCUUCCACCACACUCCUUCCUGAAACAGAUUCUCAUCAACCACAUCUUCCCCUCCUUGGUUAAACAAUUCAUUCAAUGUCUUUUUGUGGUGACUCAACAUUUGAGCCACCACAGCUGCUCUCCCCGGUGUCAUAAGGCCAAGAGGUAUCCCAUCCCCAUCAUCAUCAUUAUCAUCAUCAUCAUCAUCAGGUCUGCAAAUUGCCCAAUCCUCAUUUACUAACACCGCUAACCUCUGCAAUUUGGCCAUCUCUUUGUUGUGAAUUUCUGCCCAUUCCCAGCACAUCCAGCCGGCUCCCCUGCCAUAUCCAUACUUACAGUAGGGGUUGCCUAUUGGGCAAUCAGGUGUGUACGGGCCUUCAGGUUUUAUCCAUACCAUGUCAUCCCCAGUCAUCUUAGUGUCAUCCUUACUCUCCGUGGGUUCAUCUGUCUCCCCUUGUCCAUCUCCAUCCUCCUUUUCUGUUGGGGAAAUAAACAGUGUCGCCUCCCAUGUGUUCCCUACUCUACCUACCGCUCCGAAUGGGAGAGUCUCCAUUUGUGCUGCCUGGUACUUAGGUGGUGCGUCUGGGAUCUCAUCUUUUCCAUUAAUUGCUCUUUCUAUGGUGCGAGUAGCUAGAGUUCUCAUACAUGGAAUGCAACAACAUCCACAGGUGGUCAGUAUGGCACCCCCUACUGCUACUCCUAAAAAUACUUGUCCCAAGAACGCUCCCCAUCUUCCAAACUUCUCAUUUAACCAAUCUACCAGAGGAUUUUUUAUUCCAGACUGUUCUUUCAUUUCGUUAGCU
Molecule: long non-coding RNA, 3417 nt
Organism: Clupea harengus (Atlantic herring)
Lineage: Eukaryota; Metazoa; Chordata; Actinopteri; Clupeiformes; Clupeidae
Source: Ensembl